This 305-nucleotide ribosomal RNA is filed under the name uncultured bacterium. RNAcentral describes it as "bacterial SSU rRNA". It matches the Rfam family "Bacterial small subunit ribosomal RNA", at positions 334 to 631 of the family's 1533-position model. The record is from RNAcentral.
CAGUCCUACGGGGCGCAGCAGUAGGGAAUCUUCGGCAAUGGGCGAAAGCCUGACCGAGCAACGCCGCGUGAAUGAAGAAGGCCUUCGGGCUGUAAAAUUCUGUUAUAAGGGAAGAAAGGUGAUAGGAGGAAAUGACUAUCAAUUGACGGUACCUUAUGAGAAAGCCACGGCUAACUACGUGCCAGCAGCCGCGGUAAUACGUAGGUGGCAAGCGUUAUCCGGAAUUAUUGGGCGUAAAGAGCGCGCAGGUGAUUAAUUGAGUCUGAUGUGAAAGCCAACGGCUUAACAGUGGAGGGUCAUUGGAA